UUCAUUAUUGCAUUGCACAUUAUUUUAUUAAUAUUCGUUAUUGUAAAUUUUGUACAGUCAGCUGUAUAAACCAGCUAUUUAUAAACAUAAUUUUCUUCUGUUUUACAAUAUAUUUUUUGGGGCCUUUAAUGUUAUGAGAUCUAUUUUAAUAUUGCUUUAUUUUAUUCAGUUUUUGUUUUGUGCGGAUAAUGAAACAUACAAAUUGAAUAAAAAACUUAAAGCGAGUGUUUGGUGUUUUUCCUGCAGUUAAGUACUUUGCGAUGUGCCUUUUACCACAAGCCCAAACUUUGGUACAAAAUAAAAGACCAGUCAACCAACACAAGGUUCCUGUUAAACUUAAACUUUUUCAGUCAAAUCAUGCGCGGAGAAGUGAAAACGACGGUACAGGACGUCACAAAGUCGGUCUGCAGAAUUCUUGACGAAAAGUCAAAAUACGAGUGUUUUAUCUGACAGCAACAGUACAUGUAGUUACCAUGUUUUUCUGAACAGUUAAAAGGAAAAUGAUAUUUUAAAAUAUUUAAAUUACUGAUUUUAUUCCAUGCAAUAUUUUGAAAGGAACCCAAUCCUUAACACUUUAGCGAGUAAAUAACAUACAAAGGGAAGAUAGUCUUUGCUGAAGAAAGAAGUCAAUAUACGUUUGAUUGACAAUGCAUUGGAUUCCUUAUAACAGAGUCGUAUAAACACCGAGCACUCCAACUGCCGCCUUUGUGUG
Non-coding RNA from Ciona intestinalis (vase tunicate), 712 nucleotides. NCBI's taxonomy places the organism in Eukaryota, Metazoa, Chordata, Ascidiacea, Phlebobranchia, Cionidae. The record is from RefSeq and is a predicted model, not a curated record.